RNAcentral lists this ribosomal RNA (330 nucleotides) under uncultured bacterium. RNAcentral describes it as "bacterial SSU rRNA". It matches the Rfam family "Bacterial small subunit ribosomal RNA", at positions 8 to 334 of the family's 1533-position model. The record is from RNAcentral.
AGAGUUUGAUCAUGGCUCAGGAUGAACGCUAGCUACAGGCUUAACACAUGCAAGUCGAGGGGCAUCAGGGAGUAGCAAUACUCUGCUGGCGACCGGCGCACGGGUGAGUAACACGUAUCCAACCUGCCGAUAACUCAGGGAUAACCCUUCGAAAGAAGGACUAAUACCUGAUAGUACCAUCAGAUGGCAUCUGACGAUGGUUAAAGAAUUUCGGUUAUCGAUGGGGAUGCGUUCCAUUAGCUUGUUGGCGGGGUAACGGCCCACCAAGGCAUCGAUGGAUAGGGGUUCUGAGAGGAAGGUCCCCCACAUUGGAACUGAGACACGGUCCAA